This 433-nucleotide ribosomal RNA is filed under the name uncultured bacterium. RNAcentral's name for it is "partial 16S ribosomal RNA". It matches the Rfam family "Bacterial small subunit ribosomal RNA", at positions 29 to 507 of the family's 1533-position model. The record is from RNAcentral.
AACGAACGCUGGCGGCAUGCCUAACACAUGCAAGUCGAACGAGACCGUCGUGUCUAGGGGCGCACCGCGACUUAACACCUGGUAACUUACCCGUAAGUUCGGUAUAACUCCCCUAAAGGUGUCCUAAGACCGGAUGAGCUCUUCGCACCAAAGAGUUAUUGCCGUUGGAUGGGCGCUGGUUGGAUUAGCUAGUUGGUAGUGUAAAAGCCUGCCAACGCGAGGAUCCAUAGCUGGUCUGAUAGGAUGAUCAGCCACACUGGGACUGCGACCCGGCCCAGACUGCUAGGGGAGGCAGCGGAGGGGAGUAUUGGACACUGGGCGCAAGCGCGACACCGCCGUGCCGGGUAAGUGAUGCAGGCCUUAGGAUUGUACAGCUCUUUUACACGGGGUGAUAAUGACGGUACCGGGAGAAUAAGCUCCGGCUAACUCCGUG